This 302-nucleotide long non-coding RNA is filed under the name Lupinus mutabilis. RNAcentral describes it as "partial ncRNA". Lineage: Eukaryota; Viridiplantae; Streptophyta; Magnoliopsida; Fabales; Fabaceae. The record is from RNAcentral.
UAUAACCGUUGUUAAAAAUAAUCAAGUUAAUGAAAAUCCCGUUAAGGAAAUCAAGCAAAGAUCUGAGGAACCGCAACCUCCUGUUAAAACGCAGGCUGGUCCAGUUGAACCAGCUCGUGAAGUGAAACCAAUUUCAACACCAACUAAGAAAAAAGAAGCUGAAAAGAAUAAGAAAAAUUCAUCUCAAAAAGAGAAUAAUGCUCUUUCCAGUCAAAAACAAUCAACCGAGAAGAAAGAUAGUCAAAGUAAAGAUAUUAAAAAGCCAAAAGCUUCAUUGGAUAGAUCGCCAAUAUCAAACAAAG